Molecule: ribosomal RNA, 429 nt
Filed under: Bacteroidota bacterium
Lineage: Bacteria; Pseudomonadati; Bacteroidota
Description: Bacteroidetes bacterium partial 16S ribosomal RNA
Rfam family: Bacterial small subunit ribosomal RNA
Source: RNAcentral
UAGGGAAUCUUCCGCAAUGGACGCAAGUCUGACGGAGCAACGCCGCGUGAGUGAAGAAGGAUUUCGGUUCGUAAAACUCUGUUGUUAGAGAAGAACAGCGCAUAGAGUAACUGUUAUGCGUGUGACGGUAUCUAACCAGAAAGCCACGGCUAACUACGUGCCAGCAGCCGCGGUAAUACGUAGGUGGCAAGCGUUGUCCGGAUUUAUUGGGCGUAAAGCGAGCGCAGGCGGUCAAUUAAGUCUGAUGUGAAAGCCCCCGGCUCAACCGGGGAGGGUCAUUGGAAACUGGUUGACUUGAGUGCAGAAGAGGAGAGUGGAAUUCCAUGUGUAGCGGUGAAAUGCGUAGAUAUAUAGAGGAACACCAGUGGCGAAGGCGACUCUCUGGUCUGUAACUGACGCUGAGGCUCGAAAGCGUGGGUAGCAAACAGG